UUCUGACUAUACUGCCAGCUGCAUGAGAGCAGGAAUUGGUCUUGUUCAGCACUGGGAAAAGUACCUGGCACACAUUGGUGACCAAUAAGUAUUGUUGAAAGGACAGAUGAGGCAAGGAAUGAGAAGUAUCUGGACGGAAGUCAUCUUUAUCCACGCUGCCUGCACCACCCCCAGGCCAACUCUGUGAGAGGUGUAACUGGUGAUAAAUAUCCAAGUGGACUUGAGAGAACUUGGAAUGCAAUGCCGCCUGCUUCCUGCUCCCGUGGGACCCACGUGACUCUCAUCCCAGAGGAGACACCUGUGCCUCCAACCCGGUGGCUUGCCUCCUCGUCCCUCAGGAUGUAACGACAACGACAAGUUUACUGUGUGAGGUCCCAGGCCGAGCGCCAACGCUGAAUGGUUCAUUCAGACCUCACAUUGUCUGGCACAUUUUCAAGCAUUCUUCCCCGUGUUUUGUAGACAAGAAAACCAAGGCUCCCUGAGGGCCAGGUUAAGUAACUUGUCCAGCUGCUCACCACGGCGCAAAGAUGAAGCUGAGUUUUGAAAUACCACAUCAUGCGGUAUUUAGAGAAGAAGAUUGAAAUGGACUUUUCAGAAGAGGUGGGGAGGGACAAUUUUGACAUUAUCUUUUUUCUCCUGAUCAUAUAAGCAAUGCAUGCUCAUUGUUUGUUUAAUUAAGAAAAAGUCAGAGUUUGAAAAGACAUUAGCAGAGGAGUGGUGGUGAGGUUUCCCCUCGUCUGCCGGUUUCUUUCUAAGAACUAAGGGAAAUGACUGAGCCCUCAGAGGGGAGGGAGGGAGGAGAGAAUGUCCUGGCAUUAAAUCUGAGCGGAGAGCAUCGUAACCCUGCAGGGGAGGU
Molecule: long non-coding RNA, 856 nt
Organism: Equus asinus (donkey)
Lineage: Eukaryota; Metazoa; Chordata; Mammalia; Perissodactyla; Equidae
Source: Ensembl